RNA transcript from Solanum tuberosum (potato), 939 nucleotides. It is a transcript of the gene named transcription factor bHLH14-like, with no coding region annotated. NCBI's taxonomy places the organism in Eukaryota, Viridiplantae, Streptophyta, Magnoliopsida, Solanales, Solanaceae. The transcript is spliced from 3 exons. The record is from RefSeq and is a predicted model, not a curated record.
UCAACUGAAUUUAUUGCUUUCGCGUUGAUAUAUGUUACAUCUAUACUAUGGAUAUUCUAACAUUUACUUGGACAAGUGAGUCAGUUCAAGUAGUUGAACAUAUCCACCAAAAGAGAGAGGAUUUGAAUCACGCUGAAGGAUAAAGCAAGACUUCCAAGAAAAGGGGGAGAAAGGGGAGAGAGAUUUGCGAGACACAAGGAAACCACGUAGAGGCGGAGAGGCAGAGAAGAGAGAAACUUAACUCUCGAUUCUAUGCGUUGCGCGAGGUGGUUCCAAACGUAACGAAAAUGGACAAAGCCACAUUGCUAUCAGAUGCUGUAACAUAUAUUACCCAACUGAAAGCUAAAGUGGAUGAAUUAGAAUCAAAACUUCAUAACAAUUACUAUUAUUCAGAGCACAAGAAGAAACACAAAAUGGAAAAUGAUAAUGUAGUGGACAACCAAAGCUCUACCACUUCUUGGGAUCAUACUAUGGAAAUUGAAGUGAAGAUGGUAGGUCAAGAUGCCAUGAUUAGGGUUCAAUCAGAAAAUGUGAAUUAUCCAUCAACAAGAUUGAUGUGUGCUCUUCAAGAAGUUGAACUACAUGUCUACCAUGCCAACAUCUCAAGUGUCAAUGAUCUUAUGCUACAUGACAUACUUGUUAAAGUUCCUCAAGGAUUGGAGACUGAAGAUGAAGUAAAAAAUGCUCUACUUAGAAGCUUAAAGCAAAUAACAUGUUGAUAAUUACCUAUUGGAGACUGAAGAUGAAGUAUGAUCUUCAAUCUCUUCUUUUCAUUUUUAAUCUUACCGUCAGAUCUCUCAAUAACAAUCACGUAUGCUUUGACAUUUUUUUGGAUUGAGAAUCGACUUCGGAUUUACUCAUUUGAUAGCUAAUGAGUAGGAAAAGAAGUGUAGGGUUUUCGCUUACACGUCUAAGAAAAGGGGUGAUUGGUCGGUUUAA